CUACGGGUGGCUGCAGUGGGGAAUAUUGCACAAUGGGCGCAAGCCUGAUGCAGCCAUGCCGCGUGUAUGACGAAGGCCUUCGGGUUGUAAAGUACUUUCAGCGGGGAGGAAGGGAGUAAAGUUAAUACCUUUGCUCAUUGACGUUACCCGCAGAAGAAGCACCGGCUAACUCCGUGCCAGCAGCCGCGGUAAUACGGAGGGGCAAGCGUUAAUCGGAAUUACUGGGCGUAAAGCGCACGCAGGCGGUUUGUUAAGUCAGAUGUGAAAUCCCCGGGCUCAACCUGGGAACUGCAUCUGAUACUGGCAAGCUUGAGUCUCGUAGAGGGGGGUAGAAUUCCAGGUGUAGCGGUGAAAUGCGUAGAGAUCUGGAGGAAUACCGGUGGCGAAGGCGGCCCCCUGGACGAAGACUGACGCUCAGGUGCGAAAGCGUGGGGAGCAAACAGGAUUAGAUACCCGUGUAGUC
RNAcentral lists this ribosomal RNA (463 nucleotides) under uncultured bacterium. RNAcentral describes it as "partial 16S ribosomal RNA". It matches the Rfam family "Bacterial small subunit ribosomal RNA", at positions 339 to 795 of the family's 1533-position model. The record is from RNAcentral.